CCUACGGGAGGCAGCAGUCGGGAAUAUUGCGCAAUGGGCGAAAGCCUGACGCAGCCAUGCCGCGUGUGUGAAGAAGGCCCUAGAGUUGUAAAGCACUUUCAAUUGUGAGGAAAGGUUGACGAUUAAUACUCGUCGGCUGUGACGUUAACUUUAGAAGAAGCACCGGCUAACUCCGUGCCAGCAGCCGCGGUAAUACGGAGGGUGCAAGCGUUAAUCGGAAUUACUGGGCGUAAAGCGCGCGUAGGCGGUUUUUUAAGUCGGAUGUGAAAGCCCCGGGCUCAACCUGGGAACUGCAUCCGAUACUGGAAGACUAGAGUGCGGGAGAGGGAGGUAGAAUUCCAUGUGUAGCAGUGAAAUGCGUAGAUAUGUGGAGGAAUACCAGUGGCGAAGGCGGCCUCCUGGCUCGACACUGACGCUGAGGUGCGAAAGCGUGGGGAGCAAACGGGAUUAGAUACCCCGGUAGUCCACGCCGUAAACGAUGUCUACUAGCUGUAGGGGUACUUGAGACCUUUGUAGCGCAGCUAACGCACUAAGUAGACCGCCUGGGGAGUACGGCCGCAAG
RNAcentral lists this ribosomal RNA (562 nucleotides) under uncultured bacterium. Its description in RNAcentral is "bacterial SSU rRNA". It matches the Rfam family "Bacterial small subunit ribosomal RNA", at positions 338 to 892 of the family's 1533-position model. The record is from RNAcentral.